Molecule: ribosomal RNA, 533 nt
Filed under: Fusarium sp. PHA-17
Lineage: Eukaryota; Fungi; Ascomycota; Sordariomycetes; Hypocreales; Nectriaceae
Description: eukaryotic LSU rRNA
Rfam family: 5.8S ribosomal RNA (bases 165-318)
Source: RNAcentral
GCGGAGGGAUCAUUACCGAGUUUACAACUCCCAAACCCCUGUGAACAUACCUUACUGUUGCCUCGGCGGAUCAGCCCGCUCCCGGUAAAACGGGACGGCCCGCCAGAGGACCCCUAAACUCUGUUUUUAUAUGUAACUUCUGAGUAAAACCAUAAAUAAAUCAAAACUUUCAACAACGGAUCUCUUGGUUCUGGCAUCGAUGAAGAACGCAGCAAAAUGCGAUAAGUAAUGUGAAUUGCAGAAUUCAGUGAAUCAUCGAAUCUUUGAACGCACAUUGCGCCCGCCAGUAUUCUGGCGGGCAUGCCUGUUCGAGCGUCAUUUCAACCCUCAAGCCCUCGGGUUUGGUGUUGGGGAUCGGCGAGCCUUUCUGGCAAGCCGGCCCCGAAAUCUAGUGGCGGUCUCGCUGCAGCCUCCAUUGCGUAGUAGUAAAACCCUCGCAACUGGAACGCGGCGCGGCCAAGCCGUUAAACCCCCAACUUCUGAAUGUUGACCUCGGAUCAGGUAGGAAUACCCGCUGAACUUAAGCAUAUCAA